RNAcentral lists this long non-coding RNA (765 nucleotides) under Macaca mulatta (Rhesus monkey). RNAcentral's name for it is "lncRNA (ENSMMUG00000048762.2)". The record is from RNAcentral. Lineage: Eukaryota; Metazoa; Chordata; Mammalia; Primates; Cercopithecidae.
CCUGCAAUGAAGUUGCAGCCUCCGUAUCAGCCAAAAUGCUCAGCGCCCACUUUAUGAAGGAGCAGGGGAAGAAACAGGAUCCUCAUUUGGCUCUACGACGCCUCCUCCACCUGCUUCCCCUGCCACCCUCAGCCCCAGCUCCAAGGAUAUGAAAAGACCAAGUGCCAGUGGAUGACUGGGGGGAGAAAAGAGAGCCUGAAACUUAUUGCAGGAGAGGCCAGAGUGUGAAUGCGAAGCUCCUGCAGGGCAAUGGAGGCCUCAAGGACAUGUUGACAUAGCUGGGAGUCUUGCUGGUCCAUCUCUGUCAUUUAACAGCUCUGUAGGGUUCCCUGCUAUAGCCCCAGUGCCCACUCAUAGGUAUUUGUUGAACAAGUGAAAAAGAUACUCAACAAAUGAUGACUCUCACUGUUAUUCAGGGAAUCACAUGAUGUUAAGAGGGAGGAGAUGCCCAGUGUUCCAGACACAUCUGGACAGCGCCUGGCAGACAAGACAGUCGGCCCUCAGGAGAUGGCUACUUAUUCAUAGUACAUGGUUGGUGCUGAGGCUUCUGAAAUGGAAUCUCUCAGCUGUCUGGGCUCGUGUCUCUUGGCCCAGUAGCUGCAUCUAAUCUCUCCAAGGAGAGGAAAAGGACAAACUCAAGUUGCAAAGAAAAUGUGCUGAUGAUGCAUUGCAGGGGGCAGUCCUUUGAGCAAGAGGUAAGUCCCUUGUGCAGAGGCAAGUCCCUUGCGCAGGAGGCGCUAUCUUUGCAGCAGUGGAGAAAGACAG